UCUCCCUUAUCUCCUACCUCUGUCAUGGUCUCACCCAUCCCGGCUUGUCUCCUGCAAGCUGAUCCGCACCCGUCGGGGCCCUGAGGCUACCUCCCGGUGCUGCCUCUUCCAACUGCGCCGGGCCACCCUGAAAAGCUUCGCUCCGCCAUUGCCUCACUGGAUAUACGCAGGGAGCCCGCCAUGCCUCUCCGUCUUCGUCCGCCGCGCCGAGACCGCCUCCUGCUGCCGGGAGCCUGCUCUGGAGCCGCCGCCACUGAAGGCCGGCCGACGGCGAGCAAGGCCGGCCAACGCGCGCGGGUCCCUUCAUUGGCUCCAGCAAGCUCGUCGGCGGCGGGGACCAUAAGAUCCCUGUGCCAGCAGCCUCGGAUCUGGCCCGAUUCGUACGUCCACGACCUCCGCGACCUGCGCAUGCCCCUUGGUCCGGCCUAGAUCCCGCGCCGCUUCGUCUGUUCGUGUUGACCCCGAGGAGUCGUAUCUUCGGCAGACCACCACCAGUGGCUUCAUCCCUGUAUCUUCAGAUGGGCUCUCUUCUCUUUGAUUUGUUCUUGUCCCUCAUUUCCUUCUUGAUUUGUUUCCUUCUUGAUUUUGGAGACCGUUUGUUGAUUUUCUAGGGCGUACGUAUAUGAACUGGUAAGAUCAGAUGUAAAGUAGCGAGGUGGGAUUAUUUGAUGGAAGAAAGAUUCUCAACUCAGAGCUAGGUCUUUUUUUUUUUGAGAAAAAGAGAUGCAGGCCGGCAAUGUACAAAA
Triticum dicoccoides is the source of this 746-nucleotide long non-coding RNA. RefSeq lists it as uncharacterized. The record is from RefSeq and is a predicted model, not a curated record. NCBI's taxonomy places the organism in Eukaryota, Viridiplantae, Streptophyta, Magnoliopsida, Poales, Poaceae. The transcript is spliced from 2 exons.